This 571-nucleotide ribosomal RNA is filed under the name uncultured Aureobasidium. RNAcentral describes it as "LSU rRNA". It matches the Rfam family "Eukaryotic large subunit ribosomal RNA", at positions 62 to 648 of the family's 3401-position model. The record is from RNAcentral. Lineage: Eukaryota; Fungi; Ascomycota; Dothideomycetes; Dothideales; Dothioraceae.
AAACCAACAGGGAUUGCCCUAGUAACGGCGAGUGAAGCGGCAACAGCUCAAAUUUGAAAGCUAGCCUUCGGGUUCGCAUUGUAAUUUGUAGAGGAUGAUUUGGGGAAGCCGCCUGUCUAAGUUCCUUGGAACAGGACGUCAUAGAGGGUGAGAAUCCCGUAUGUGACAGGAAAUGGCACCCUAUGUAAAUCUCCUUCGACGAGUCGAGUUGUUUGGGAAUGCAGCUCUAAAUGGGAGGUAAAUUUCUUCUAAAGCUAAAUAUUGGCGAGAGACCGAUAGCGCACAAGUAGAGUGAUCGAAAGAUGAAAAGCACUUUGGAAAGAGAGUUAAAAAGCACGUGAAAUUGUUGAAAGGGAAGCGCUUGCAAUCAGACUUGUUUAAACUGUUCGGCCGGUCUUCUGACCGGUUUACUCAGUUUGGACAGGCCAGCAUCAGUUUCGGCGGCCGGAUAAAGGCUCUGGGAAUGUGGCCUCCACUUCGGUGGAGGUGUUAUAGCCCCGGGUGUAAUACGGCCAGCCGGGACUGAGGUCCGCGCUUCGGCUAGGAUGCGGGCGUAAUGGUUGUAAGCGAC